RNAcentral lists this ribosomal RNA (780 nucleotides) under uncultured bacterium. RNAcentral's name for it is "bacterial SSU rRNA". It matches the Rfam family "Bacterial small subunit ribosomal RNA", at positions 8 to 795 of the family's 1533-position model. The record is from RNAcentral.
AGAGUUUGAUCCUGGCUCAGAUUGAACGCCGGCGGCAUGCCUAACACAUGCAAGUCGGACGAGGCGGCAACGCCGAGUGGCGGACGGGUGAGCAACGCGUAGGAAUCUGCCCACGGGUGGGGGACAACCCGGCGAAAGCCGGGCUAAUACCGCAUAAGUUCUAAGGAAGAAAGCGGGGGACCUUCGGGCCUCGCGCCGGUGGAGGAGCCUGCGUGGGAUUAGCUAGUUGGCGGGGUAAGGGCCCACCAAGGCGACGAUCCCUAGCCGGCCUGAGAGGGUGGCCGGCCACACCGGGACUGAGACACGGCCCGGACUCCUACGGGAGGCAGCAGUGGGGAAUAUUGGACAAUGGGCGAAAGCCUGAUCCAGCCAUGCCGCGUGUGUGAAGAAGGUCUUCGGAUUGUAAAGCACUUUAAGUUGGGAGGAAGGGCAUUAACCUAAUACGUUAGUGUUUUGACGUUACCGACAGAAUAAGCACCGGCUAACUCUGUGCCAGCAGCCGCGGUAAUACAGAGGGUGCAAGCGUUAAUCGGAAUUACUGGGCGUAAAGCGCGCGUAGGUGGUUUGUUAAGUUGAAUGUGAAAUCCCCGGGCUCAACCUGGGAACUGCAUCCAAAACUGGCAAGCUAGAGUAUGGUAGAGGGUGGUGGAAUUUCCUGUGUAGCGGUGAAAUGCGUAGAUAUAGGAAGGAACACCAGUGGCGAAGGCGACCACCUGGACUGAUACUGACACUGAGGUGCGAAAGCGUGGGGAGCAGACAGGAUUAGAUACCCUGGUAGUC